Molecule: long non-coding RNA, 817 nt
Organism: Mya arenaria
Lineage: Eukaryota; Metazoa; Mollusca; Bivalvia; Myida; Myidae
Exons: 4
Source: RefSeq, a predicted model, not a curated record
CAAACAUGUCACAGUAAUCAAUACCAUCUGUGUUAAGAUGUCGGGAAUGUGUUAGACGAAUGAUUUUGUUUUAUGGAGCUUUGAAGAGCGAUGAAUGGCACUAAAGUGGUGCCAAAUGGAUAUCUCAAACACCCAUUGUUGAUGUGUGAUGCUGAUAAUACAGAGACAGCUAGAGUGACAGAGUUUGAUGAAUAAACUUAAAUUAAAAAACAGAAAUAACCACCAUCUCUCUCAGAGGUCAUCUUUCUCAUUAUUGUGGGGAAACCUCAAAGGGCAUCAGGAAAACCUUCAUCAACCUCUUUGUGCCCAGUGGCUUGUGCAACAGUGUUUCAGAAAUUAUCAUUAAAAUGGGGAUAAUGGAUGACUGGCCACACAUAUGGGGCUAUGGACAAGCUUCAUAGCAGGCUGCCAGGUGGUGGUGUUAGUAGUUUAUACUCCGGGUCCCGGCGUGAGCACAUUGAAGGGUCCCUGAGAGUGACAGUUCAACCACCGCACACCUAUCCUGGGCAGAACCAGUACUAGGUGCCUUCACCUCUGCAAGGAACUGACAACUUCUGUACAUGCCAGGUGCAGUGGUACAGUGCGAAUGGUCGUAGAAAGGAUUUCAUAACCAAUCACAACAGAGGUGACCUGGUCCGCCCGGGAAUCAAACCCGGGUUGUCCAAUUCAGAGUCCAACGCUCUACCGAUUGAGCUGACCGGGCGGACAUAUUAGCUACAUUAGAUGACAAGCCAUCUAUGCUGGACAUUCUUCACAAUAAAAUGUGAUGUCACAGGAGCUGUCUAUCUCAACAGCUCACACUGUCCGUAUUUGACUA